GUGCUCGCUUUGGCAGCACAUCUACUAAAAUUGGAACAAUACAGAGAAGAUUAGUAUGGCCCCUGCACAAGGGUGACACAUACUCAUGAAGCGUUCCAUAUUAAA
Sciurus vulgaris (Eurasian red squirrel) is the source of this 105-nucleotide small nuclear RNA. The record is from Ensembl. NCBI's taxonomy places the organism in Eukaryota, Metazoa, Chordata, Mammalia, Rodentia, Sciuridae.